Molecule: unclassified non-coding RNA, 2552 nt
Filed under: Hevea brasiliensis (rubber tree)
Lineage: Eukaryota; Viridiplantae; Streptophyta; Magnoliopsida; Malpighiales; Euphorbiaceae
Source: RNAcentral
UGUUAUUCGCCAAACUAAUACAAAAUCCAAAUCUGUUUGUAGAUUUUCAAAGCUUAAAUCAUUUGAGUCGUUGAAUUGGAUAACAAAAUUAUGCAGAAUUAUUACCACCCAAGUUUUGAGUUACAAAAUUCUUGGGGAAAUUCGUCUGAUUCUGAUAUUUUCACCCCAGAUUCUAACAUUAUCUAGUGGUUUGUGUCUAUAUGCAGAAUUUAUCAAUCAUCUGGGAAACCUAGAAACCUAUUUAUAAGCUUGGCAACAGGGGUUGCAUCACCUGCAGGGUAUGGAAGAAGAGACUCCAAAUCCAUAUCUGCUAUUGUACGGUGGAGUGUUCGAGGACGAGCACAAUAUAAAUGCUUCCUCUCUGCUAGUUCUUCUGCAAGUUCACUUUGAUGAUUGUCCAUCAGAUCUUCAUUCACCACUACAAUUAGAGGUUUUCCAAGCCGCAAAGUCUCAAAUAUACUCCCUGACCCUACAUCAUGAUCAGAACCAGUUAAUGCUCCUUUUGCUAUCCAAAGUAAAGGUAUGAAACUUUAUUACUCAACUUUUUUAGUCCAUAACUUCUAUGGGUACUAAUGCAGUUAUCCACUUUAUCUCUCACUUUCUCAUAAGCAACACAAACACUCUGAAUCUUUCUAAGACAUUGACAAAAAAAACUACAGUAUGAUGCCAUGGCAGAUGAGCAUUAAAAAAGAAAGCGCCAAAGCUAAUUGACAUUCAACAGUCAACUUGAUAAAAUUCCUAGAACAUAUGCCCGGCACAUCAGAAAUUUAUCAUCUAGUUUCAAUCUCUACCAUAUAUGUCUGCAAAUAAUAAAAUUAGCAUCAUACCCAAUGUUGCCAACUUAGUAAUUAAACACAUUUUCUGGAAAAAUAAAAAAAUUUGUUCAGACAUUUAUAAAUAAACUUUUUUUCCUCUAGAUAAACUGAACUACAGAACCAGCCAACCCAACCAGCCCUUUAACUCUACCUAUAAUAUAGAAGAGGGGGUUAAUGAUAGCCAUGUUAAUUUUCAAUAUUUACCAAACUACCAAUGUAUGAGAUGAUAAUUGAAGAGAAUGUGUAAAUAUUGCAACAGUAGGAAUGUUAGAAUAUGACCUUAACACCACCAAAUAUCAAGCAGAAAUAUAUAACAUAAGAGUUUACCAGCAUGGCUGAUGACAAGAGAUGCUGAUCUUAGAUGAUCUGCAAUACUUGAUGAAAAAGUGAAGUAAUCAACAGCCACUGAUCCAUCUUCUGCUUCAGACUGCACUUAAAAGAAAAUUUUAAGAAACAUGAUAUACGUGAACCAGAAGACUAAUAAAAGCCUAAAGAAGAAAGCAACUUUAAGAAGAAAAGGAGAUGUCUUUGUUUAAUCAAAAUUCUACUGAAGUGCAACAGUUUCUUCAAGAAUUUGGUUUAUUUAGGCAACAUGAGAAUAUGAAGAAUUUUAUCACAAAAAAAAUAUAAUAAAAAGAAAAAGACCUAAUCCUAACCCAACGAUUUACCCCUUGAACACAAAUAAUAAAAAGAAGAAAAUAUUAUUGAAAUUUCCAGGACAAGUAUUUCUUCAUCUUCAAAUUUCAAAAUGCAUUUUAUUAUUCCAUAUUGAGUGAAUUGGAUAUCUUUCAGUUCUGUCCAAUAUCACUUAAACAAUAUUUUACACAAACAAUAUUUUACACAAGUUGAUGACAAUUUUCAAAAUCAAGCCAACAUCAGAAACAACAUAAGUACUUCUCAAAUCUCAAGUGCAAUGUAUAGCUCAAGAACAUUUAGUGACCUUUUUGAGUGGCGAUAAUUUUAUCUAGCUUAAUCUCCAUGUAUAUUACUCUAUAUCCUGGUUUACAGGGGUUGCCUUAUAUAGCUACAUAAGAGGGAAUCCAUGCCAAUGGUCAAACUCCAAAACCUUCACGCAGAGACCCACAUGACUAUAACUGAGGACAUAUAUUUAUCUUUACUCUACAUUAUCAUGCAAUUUUAUUAUUACACUAAGGCUACAUUUGGUACAACGUAAUACAAAGGAAUGCAAUCAGAAUUGCAAUAGAAUCAAAGUUGUGAUGUAAUGCAAUGUAUUAAGCAUUACAUUACAUUGUUUGGAAGAACAAAAAUGUAAUGAAAUUGCUAUUAUAAUUUCAUGUUUGUUUACAUAUAUAUGUUUAUAAAAUGUAUUCAAAUUAGUAAUAAGAUUUUAAUAAAUAAUAUUAUUUUAUUAAUAUUAUUUUAAUUUGAGAUUAUUAAUAUUUUCACUACUACCAUCACCACCACCAUAAAAUUAAUUUUAUCAUUUUUAUAUUAAUAGCACAAGCUGUUUCAAUCCAAAAUACCAAAUUCUUAAUAAGCAGUUAAGAAUAUGUUCAAUACAAGUUUAAUUUUGAAUUAAUGCUCAUUAGAUUAAUUUAACCCUUUAUGACAAUUUAUUUAUCCUUUCUAAUUAAUUAGCUUGAACAAUUAAGGGUUGUAUCAAUUUUUUGAAAGACCUUUUAGGCCAUGUAAUCACAAUUGGCAGAGUAGGGGAAAAAAAAUUGCCAUGGAAAAUGGCAUAGAAAACGCUAGCAAAAGCUCCAAAAAAAAAAAAAA